AUUGCCCUAGUAACGGCGAGUGAAGCGGCAACAGCUCAAAUUUGAAAUCUGGCGUCUUUGGCGUCCGAGUUGUAAUUUGCAGAGGGCGCUUUGGCAUUGGCAGCGGUCCAAGUUCCUUGGAACAGGACGUCACAGAGGGUGAGAAUCCCGUACGUGGUCGCUAGCCUUUACCGUGUAAAGCCCCUUCGACGAGUCGAGUUGUUUGGGAAUGCAGCUCUAAAUGGGAGGUAAAUUUCUUCUAAAGCUAAAUACUGGCCAGAGACCGAUAGCGCACAAGUAGAGUGAUCGAAAGAUGAAAAGCACUUUGGAAAGAGAGUUAAAAAGCACGUGAAAUUGUUGAAAGGGAAGCGCUUGCAGCCAGACUUGCCUGUAGUUGCUCAUCUAGGUUUCUACCUAGUGCACUCUUCUAUAGGCAGGCCAGCAUCAGUUUGGGCGGUUGGAUAAAGGUCUCUGUCAUGUACCUCUCUUCGGGGAGAACUUAUAGGGGAGACGACAUGCAACCAGCCUGGACUGAGGUCCGCGCAUCUGCUAGGAUGCUGGCGUAAUGGCUGUAAGCGGCCCGUCUUGAAACACGGACCAAGGAGUCUAACAUCUAUGCGAGUGUUUGGGUGUCAAGCCCGAGCGCGUAAUGAAAGUGAACGGAGGUGGGAACCUUUCGGGGUGCACCAUCGACCGAUCCUGAUGUCUUCGGAUGGAUUUGAGUAAGAGCAUAGCUGUUGGGACCCGAAAGAUGGUGAACUAUGCUUGAAUAGGGUGAAGCCAGAGGAAACUCUGGUGGAGGCUCGCAGCGGUUCUGACGUGCAAAUCGAUCGUCAAAUUUGGGCAUAGGGGCGAAAGACUAAUCGA
RNAcentral lists this ribosomal RNA (846 nucleotides) under Didymella macrostoma. Its description in RNAcentral is "LSU rRNA". It matches the Rfam family "Eukaryotic large subunit ribosomal RNA", at positions 74 to 938 of the family's 3401-position model. RNAcentral also lists the same sequence under 1 other name. The record is from RNAcentral. Lineage: Eukaryota; Fungi; Ascomycota; Dothideomycetes; Pleosporales; Didymellaceae.